Athalia rosae (coleseed sawfly) is the source of this 855-nucleotide long non-coding RNA. RefSeq lists it as uncharacterized. The record is from RefSeq and is a predicted model, not a curated record. The transcript has 2 exons. NCBI's taxonomy places the organism in Eukaryota, Metazoa, Arthropoda, Insecta, Hymenoptera, Athaliidae.
GUUUUUACGGUUUCUGCAAUGGCAAAGUGAUAUACACACCCUUGAGUUCUCAGCUCCUGAUUUCUCUCCUUGAUAAUCAUGUACGUACUUGGGAAUUGGUACCGGAAUUCCAGAGGGAGGCAAACUCUGAUAAGCGACUUCACUCGUAUUCAGCGUCUUUCAAGUCAUUGUUGAAGGAACCAAAGCACCGAGCUUGUAGUAGCUGCGUUAACUUAUCUGCAAAAGUUAUUCAAAUUGGGGAUGAGGAGGAAUUUGGAUUUAACAGGGAAAGUGUUCACGGACUUCAGAUGUAGAAAAAUAUGUGACGUGUUGACUCAUAAUUUUUUUUUAAUGAUAUUAUUUACAACUGACUGAUUCACUUAAUAUACCCUAACUUCUUUCGAGUACAGGUGCAAUAUUAUAAAUGUGUUCGGAAUAUUUGAUCUGUUAGCCUAAGGGUUACCGUACGUCUUUUCUGAACUUUUGAUUUUUUAAUUUAUUCUUAUCCAAAGAAAAUAAAAAUCCUUAGACUCAAGGAGUUUUGGGGUGAUUAGUCAGACGUUGUGGUGAUGGAUUAAUGAUUGUAAUCAUGGAAAAUGAUACGUUAUUCAAAUGCAAUUAGUACAGGUAGACUGGAGUUAGACGCGGGGUAUACUGUAGUUAAAAGCCGUGUUCAGACCAGUCACUGCAAACAAUGCAAAUACAUAGAAAAAAUAGAUUAGUGACUUGUCCCAUAAGCGUCAAACGUAACAAGUUUUCAAUUGCAAGCAUGCUUAAUAUGACGCUUAAAUAUUAAAUCACUGUCGUAAAUAUUAAUGAACUAGAUUACGAACAACUCCUCAAAAUUCAACAAAAGAUGAAAAUAUUUGGUCAUUG